AUUGAACGCUGGCGGCAGGCCUAACACAUGCAAGUCGAACGGUAACAGGUUAAGCUGACGAGUGGCGAACGGGUGAGUAAUAUAUCGGAACGUGCCCAGUCGUGGGGGAUAACUGCUCGAAAGAGCAGCUAAUACCGCAUACGACCUGAGGGUGAAAGCGGGGGAUCGCAAGACCUCGCGCGAUUGGAGCGGCCGAUAUC
Molecule: ribosomal RNA, 200 nt
Filed under: uncultured bacterium
Lineage: Bacteria
Description: partial 16S ribosomal RNA
Rfam family: Bacterial small subunit ribosomal RNA
Source: RNAcentral